RNAcentral lists this ribosomal RNA (575 nucleotides) under Saitoella complicata. RNAcentral's name for it is "eukaryotic LSU rRNA". It matches the Rfam family "Eukaryotic large subunit ribosomal RNA", at positions 62 to 648 of the family's 3401-position model. Lineage: Eukaryota; Fungi; Ascomycota; Saitoellomycetes; Saitoellales; Saitoellaceae. The record is from RNAcentral.
AAACUAACAAGGAUUCCCCUAGUAAUGGCGAAUGAAGCGGGAAAAGCUCAAAUUUGAAAUCUGGCCGUUCCGCGGUCCGAGUUGUAAUUUCAAGAAGCGUCUUCGGAUGCGGCCCGGGUUUAAGUUCCUUGGAACAGGACGUCAUAGAGGGUGAGAACCCCGUCUUUGGCCCGGUGACCGUGUUCAUGUGAAGCGUUUUCGAAGAGUCGAGUUGUUUGGGAAUGCAGCUCUAAAUGGGUGGUAAAUUCCAUCUAAAGCUAAAUAUUGGUGGGAGACCGAUAGCGAACAAGUAGAGUGAUCGAAAGGUGAAAAGAACUUUGAAAAGAGAGUUAAACAGUACGUGAAAUUGUUGAAAGGGAAGCGCUUGAAGUCAGACUCGCCUGCUUCGGAUCAGCCUAGCUUUUGUUAGGUGCACUCCGGAGUUUGGCGGGCCAGCAUCAGUUUUGGAAGUCGGAUAAAGGUCUUGGGAACGUAGCUCUCUUCGGGGAGUGUUAUAGCCCAGGACGUAAUGCGACAAUCCGGGACUGAGGACCGCGGCUUUUGCCUAGGAUGCUGGCUUAAUGGCUUUAAGCGAC